UUCCGUAAGGGGGGGACUGCGGAAGGAUCAUUA
Molecule: ribosomal RNA, 33 nt
Filed under: Lodderomyces parapsilosis
Lineage: Eukaryota; Fungi; Ascomycota; Pichiomycetes; Serinales; Debaryomycetaceae
Description: Candida parapsilosis partial 18S ribosomal RNA
Source: RNAcentral